UACGUAGGGUGCAAGCGUUAAUCGGAAUUACUGGGCGUAAAGCGGGCGCAGGCGGUUUUGUAAGUCUGACGUGAAAUCCCCGGGCUCAACCUGGGAAUUGCGUUGGAGACUGCAAGGCUAGAAUCUGGCAGAGGGGGGUAGAAUUCCACGUGUAGCAGUGAAAUGCGUAGAGAUGUGGAGGAACACCGAUGGCGAAGGCAGCCCCCUGGGUCAAGAUUGACGCUCAUGCACGAAAGCGUGGGGAGCAAACAGG
This 253-nucleotide ribosomal RNA is filed under the name uncultured bacterium. Its description in RNAcentral is "partial 16S ribosomal RNA". It matches the Rfam family "Bacterial small subunit ribosomal RNA", at positions 524 to 776 of the family's 1533-position model. The record is from RNAcentral.